UACGGAGGGUGCAAGCGUUAUCCGGAUUCACUGGGUUUAAAGGGCGCGUAGGCGGCACGGCAAGUCAGGAGUGAAAGGCCUGGGCUCAACCGAGGAACUGCUUUUGAGACUGCCGAGCUAGAGUGCAGAAGGGGCAACUGGAAUUCCCAGUGUAGCGGUGAAAUGCGUAGAUAUUGGGAAGAACACCUGAGGCGAAGGCGGGUUGCUGGGCUGACACUGACGCUGAGGCGCGAAAGCCAGGGGAGCAAACGGG
Molecule: ribosomal RNA, 253 nt
Filed under: uncultured bacterium
Lineage: Bacteria
Description: partial 16S ribosomal RNA
Rfam family: Bacterial small subunit ribosomal RNA
Source: RNAcentral